Long non-coding RNA from Brassica oleracea var. oleracea, 396 nucleotides. RefSeq lists it as uncharacterized. The transcript has 5 exons. The record is from RefSeq and is a predicted model, not a curated record. Lineage: Eukaryota; Viridiplantae; Streptophyta; Magnoliopsida; Brassicales; Brassicaceae.
CCUAUGGCGAUUCCUCUGCCGGCUUAGCAUAGUAGUCUAAACUCCGUUACUCGGAUCUUUAUGAUUCUACGCACGUAUUCCAAGGACGUUGCGAUUCCUCUUCCUGCAACGGAUUUCUCCAGCCUCCUCUAUAUAGGGUUCUUCGAAGCUGCUCAGCAUACUCUAUACUGGGAAGUUAAGAGACACUGGGAAAUUAUUUGAAUCAAACUUGGAAGGAUCUCCAUUAAAAUUUCGCUUAGGUGGAGAAAAGUCAUAAAAGGUCUCAGCAAUGGUGUUGAAGGGAUGCGAGUUGGUGAUAAGAGAAGACUCAUAAUUCCACCAUCUCUUGGAUACUCAGAGGAAGGAUUGAAGAAGGAAAAUGUGCCUAAGAACUCGUGGCUUGUCUAUGAAGUAGAG